Apis cerana (Asiatic honeybee) is the source of this 1092-nucleotide long non-coding RNA. RefSeq lists it as uncharacterized. The record is from RefSeq and is a predicted model, not a curated record. Lineage: Eukaryota; Metazoa; Arthropoda; Insecta; Hymenoptera; Apidae.
ACAUGUUCAUAACCGCAUCCAGCUAUCGGUGAUACAAAAAGCAAAUAAUUCUCAAGCAUGCGGUCCUCUUCUUAAGCAGUCAUUCAUCAUCGUCGUUGGACAAGUGCAAAAAGAAAAGAAGAAACCGCGAAAUCUUCGAUCUUAAGCGUUGAGCACGCGCGUUACAAAGUAAUAAUUCGGUAAAUACAAGGAGCGUGUAGAACCGGUGUUAAUUGCGCAUGCUCGGACUGGCGCACAUGCGCGUCAACAAAACGUCAUGUUAAAAAGUGCACGUGUUACAUAUUUUUGUUAAGAAAGACAGAUCUUAAUUAACUGUACAAUGGAAGGAAUCAUAAUAAGUUAAUCAGUUAACCUAUGGCCAUAUAUUCGUCGGAACUGCUGUUUUUCGUGCCACGAUUCGUAAGACCAGACAGAUGAGGAGCGAAAGAAAGAAGAAGGUCCAUAGACUGUGAAGAUGUAACCUGUUCCAGUUUCCAGGAUCAUCCUGCACUACUACUGUAUAUUCGAGAAAUUGAAUCUGCUGAAAUGUAACACGAGAAUCAGUAUGCGAUUAUCGAAGACUGUGUCAAGUGUCUGCUGGAUCUGGAUAUUCCGACCACUAGACAUUGAUUCUUCAGAUGGUUAUCUUUCAGAAAACCCGUGAGAAUAGGUCGUUCAAUAGCAACGUGCAAGAAAUCCUUCGACAAUCCCAUACACGAAAAACAGAAGAAAUCGUCCCCGACAAAAGAUACAGAAGCACCGAACCAUUCAGGAAGCCAGUAACCACACUCCGUCCAAUUACCACUGGAUAACUCGUUGGUAGCCCCAUCCUGAUUUAUCACCGACAUGGUUAAUCGCAUCUCGCCGUGGAGGCCCAAUUAAAACGACCAAACAAACCGAUUAAAAGAAGAAAAAAAAAAAGAAAAAAAAGGGACGAAAAAGAAGGCAGCAACCAAAGAAACAAACAUCCAUACAGGGUGUUGAUAUAUUCGUGGAACAUCUUUGGAGAGUCGAUUAUUAAAGUAAAUACAAAAGUUUGUGGUUGAUUUAUAAGCAAUUGAAAUUUGUAUAAGAUAAAGGAAGAUAGAAUAAAAUAAAUAAAAAAAUUUACCA